UACGUAGGGUGCAAGCGUUGUCCGGAAUUAUUGGGCGUAAAGAGCUCGUAGGCGGUCUGUCGCGUCUGCUGUGAAACCUAGGGCUUAACUCUGGGCGUGCAGUGGGUACGGGCAGGCUAGAGUGCGGUAGGGGAGACUGGAAUUCCUGGUGUAGCGGUGAAAUGCGCAGAUAUCAGGAGGAACACCGGUGGCGAAGGCGGGUCUCUGGGCCGUAACUGACGCUGGAGGAGCGAAAGCAUGGGGAGCGAACAGG
This 253-nucleotide ribosomal RNA is filed under the name uncultured bacterium. Its description in RNAcentral is "partial 16S ribosomal RNA". It matches the Rfam family "Bacterial small subunit ribosomal RNA", at positions 524 to 776 of the family's 1533-position model. The record is from RNAcentral.